This 471-nucleotide long non-coding RNA is filed under the name Capsella rubella. Its description in RNAcentral is "long non-coding RNA (CRUB_LNC004347)". The record is from RNAcentral. Lineage: Eukaryota; Viridiplantae; Streptophyta; Magnoliopsida; Brassicales; Brassicaceae.
CAGCAUCAGAUGAGGUGUGGCAUAGACGUCUUGGCCAUCCCAAUAGCAAAAUCCUACAACAGCUAGUCAACAAUAAAGCAAUUAUUAUCAAUAAGAGUACCAAGCAGAUGUGUGAGGGAUGUCAGCUUGGGAAAAGUAGUCAUCUUCCAUUCUCUGAUUCUAAGUUUAUUUCCAGCAGGCCGCUAGAGAGGAUUCACUGUGAUCUUUGGGGACCCUCUCCGGUUGUGUCUAGUCAAGGUUUUAAAUUCUAUGUAAUCUUCAUUGACCAUUGGUCUCGUUACUGUUGGUUCUACCCAUUGAAAUGCAAAUCAGAUUUCUAUCCUACAUUCUGCAACUUCCAAAACCUUGUUGAGAAUCAGUUUUCCUGCAAAAUAAGAAUGUUUCAAUGUGAUGGUGGUGGAGAAUUUACAAGUCAAAAAUUUCUCACUCACCUAGCUCAGUCUGGUAUUCAACAACUUAUCUCAUGCCCUU